UACGUAGGUGACCAGCGUUGUCCGGAAUUACUGGGCGUAAAGCGUGCGCAGGCGGUUAUUUAAGUCAGGUGUGAAAGCCCCGGGCUCAACCUGGGAAUUGCGAUGGAGACUGCAAGGCUUGAAUCUGGCAGAGGGGGGUAGAAUUCCACGUGUAGCAGUGAAAUGCGUAGAGAUGUGGAGGAACACCGAUGGCGAAGGCAGCCCCCUGGGUCAAGAUUGACGCUCAUGCACGAAAGCGUGGGGAGCAAACAGG
This 253-nucleotide ribosomal RNA is filed under the name uncultured bacterium. RNAcentral's name for it is "partial 16S ribosomal RNA". It matches the Rfam family "Bacterial small subunit ribosomal RNA", at positions 524 to 776 of the family's 1533-position model. The record is from RNAcentral.